CCUGAUAGCAAGUAUUACUGUACUGUCUGCGGGGCUACAACCCGCCGCCUGACACUCGGCCAUACUACC
This 69-nucleotide transfer RNA is filed under the name Goggia essexi. RNAcentral describes it as "tRNA-Tyr". The record is from RNAcentral. Lineage: Eukaryota; Metazoa; Chordata; Lepidosauria; Squamata; Gekkonidae.